GAGUACUAGAAUCCCGAGUGGAGAGAACCCUGCCGGGUCCUUUCUCAAAUCUCCAGGUUUCCAUGCGGUCACUCGGCUCCGACUGUACCGAGUGGAAAACGUAGCCCUCCUGCCCACUCUAUCAGCAGCCACACUGGCCUGCCUACUCAUUGUCACCUCUGAUGUCUCAGUCUGCUCACACGGACAGUGGUUAUGUGGACAGACACUCCCAGGGAAAGAAGGCUCGGGAGAUCAGGAGUCUCAGUCUCCUCCUGGUUUCCUCCCAGCAUGGGAGAGUCACUGCUCUAAUGUCCUGACCUGGCACAGGCAGGGAGAUGAGGUGUUCAGGCCCCAUGGGUGUCAUUUUCUCCCAGUUCCGUGGCUCAGCCUGUUCCAUCCUCUGCUCUACUUUCUUUUUUAUCUCUUCAACAACAGGGUCAAGGAUAUGGUGUUUUCAGUUCCAGUUCAUAGGUGAAGAGGCUGGGUCUCAGAGCCGGGGUAACUUGAUCAAGACACAUCCCACAGAGUAACCAGAACAAGCCUCACGGACUCCCCAAAGCACGCUGCUGACUGCUCCACCUCUGGCUGUUUGCUGCUUGCAUAAUGAGGAAAAGGAGUGAAUGUAAGCAAGGACUUCCCUGAGUUUUCCUCUAGCAGAUUCAUCAAACCCAAGCUGAGGGUGUGGAGACCCCACUUACAGCCUGCCAGUUAGAAGCUCAGGCAAGACCGGGAGCUUUCGACUGGCGCUGAAGGUCUGAGGAUGAGGGCUCAGCCUGUGGUUCUGACACUGUCUCCAGUGGGCCUGGACACAGCAUGCAUGGGAAGAAUGACAGUGAUUAUAAUGGAGACGACACUCACCAGCUGCUUCCUGUGCCCUACAGUCGGUAGGAGAUGUGUCAUGCUACGUGGGGUGGGGGAGGGUUCAGAUGUAAAGAAUAAAAUUUGCUGACACCGGGGUCAUCUUUUCUGAACUGCAUUCUCAUUGCAUUUGACCAGUACAACAACAUAUUGUGACAAAUGUAAAUAAAGCAUG
Peromyscus maniculatus bairdii (prairie deer mouse) is the source of this 1012-nucleotide non-coding RNA. The record is from RefSeq and is a predicted model, not a curated record. Lineage: Eukaryota; Metazoa; Chordata; Mammalia; Rodentia; Cricetidae.